GCCACCAUAGCUCAGUGGUUAGAGCACUGGUCUUGUAAACCAGGGGGUCGUGAUUUCAAUCCUCACUGGUGGCU
Non-coding RNA from Caerostris extrusa, 74 nucleotides. The record is from the annotation of a GenBank genome assembly. NCBI's taxonomy places the organism in Eukaryota, Metazoa, Arthropoda, Arachnida, Araneae, Araneidae.